ACAACGGCUGGCGGCGUGCCUAACACAUGCAAGUCGAACGUGAAGCCACCUUCGGGUGGUGGAAAGUGGCGGACGGGUGAGUAACGCGUGGGAACGUGCCUUUCGGUUCGGGAUAACCCAGGGAAACUUGGGCUAAUACCGGAUACGCCUCCGGGGGAAAGAUUCAUUGCCGAAAGAUCGGCCCGCGUCGGAUUAGCUAGUUGGUGGGGUAAUUGCCUACCAAGGCGACGAUCCGUAGCUGGUCUGAGAGGAUGAUCAGCCACACUGGGACUGAGACACGGCCCAGACUCCUACGGGAGGCAGCAGUGGGGAAUAUUGGACAAUGGGCGCAAGCCUGAUCCAGCCAUGCCGCGUGGGUGAAGAAGGCCCUAGGGUUGUAAAUCCCUUUCAGCGGGGAAGAUAAUGACGGUACCCGCAGAAGAAGCCCCGGCUAACUCCGUG
This 441-nucleotide ribosomal RNA is filed under the name uncultured bacterium. Its description in RNAcentral is "bacterial SSU rRNA". It matches the Rfam family "Bacterial small subunit ribosomal RNA", at positions 35 to 507 of the family's 1533-position model. The record is from RNAcentral.